This 881-nucleotide long non-coding RNA is filed under the name Nicotiana benthamiana. Its description in RNAcentral is "long non-coding RNA (NBEN_LNC002554)". The record is from RNAcentral. Lineage: Eukaryota; Viridiplantae; Streptophyta; Magnoliopsida; Solanales; Solanaceae.
ACAAAUUGGGACAGAGAAAUCAGGUUUUCAUUCAAAAUCUAAGGUUUGGAAUAUGUAAGUUUGCUAUCUAGGUUAUCUACAAUUUUCAUUCAAAGUCGGGUUAUAUGAUGUGCAGAAGAGGAAUAGUUGAUUUACAAACUCAUCUAAAUUCAAGAGUUCUUAGAGCUAGGUAAAAACUUCAAAUGCAGCCGAAAGCCACAAGUUAGUCUAGGUUGAAACCUGACAGAAAGUGGGAUAACUUAAGCUUAAGCUAAGUCAAAGCUGUUUGAAAAAAAAACAGAGAAAGACAAAGCUGAUUAGUCACCAGCCAGUUGGCUUAUUUGCAUUGUAUUCCACUUUCUUUCUCCUAGAGUUGGAAGUACAAAUACAGACUUAAAAAUAUGGAGUCUAAUGGUUCGAGAAAACAAUGUUUUGAAUCCCACUCUGUACUCUGAAAGAAGAACCUUUUUAUUUGUGAAAUUCAUUCGAGUUGCCUCUGUCUGCGCCAAAAGGAAAGGGAGGCAAAGGAAUCUAAACUCUCUGAAAAGAGCAACAUCUAGAGGAGUGAAAGUUAAGAAAAAGGAAAAUAGUUGUAAGGAGGCUGGAAAGAAACAGCUUCUAGAGAGCGUGGCAUAAAGUAGGACAGCAUGAAGAAGGUUUUGGAGAGAACAAAAGAGAGAAAGAACUGAUAGUUUGGGACCUGGAAACUUUGCCAAAGGGAUUCAUUUUUGGAACUCGACUAGACUGAAGAUUAAUAGCUUGUUUGGCCAAAAGCAAUUUUUGGCCAAAAGUGCUUUACUAGGCAAAAAAUAUUUUUUUUUCAAAGUUAAGAUGUUUGGCCAGACAAGAGGGGUUGCUCUGAUGGUAAGCAACCCUCACUUCCAACCGAGAGGUUGUGAGUU